GAUGAACGCUGGCGGCGUGCCUAAUACAUGCAAGUCGAGCGAACAGACGAGGAGCUUGCUCCUCUGACGUUAGCGGCGGACGGGUGAGUAACACGUGGAUAACCUACCUAUAAGACUGGGAUAACUUCGGGAAACCGGAGCUAAUACCGGAUAAUAUAUUGAACCGGAUGGUUCAAUAGUGAAAGACGGUUUUGCUGUCACUUAUAGAUGGAUCCGUGCCGCAUUAGCUAGUUGGUAAGGUAACGGCUUACCAAGGCGACGAUGCGUAGCCGACCUGAGAGGAUGAUCGGCCACACUGGAACUGAGACACGGUCCAGACUCCUACGGGAGGCAGCAGUAGGGAAUCUUCCGCAAUGGGCGCAAGCCUGACGGAGCAACGCCGCGUGAGUGAUGAAGGUCUUCGGAUCGUAAAGCUCUGUUAUUAGGGAAGAACAACUGUGUAAUUAUCUACGGACGUCUUGACGGUACCUAAUCAGAAAGCAACGGCUAACUACGUG
Molecule: ribosomal RNA, 497 nt
Filed under: uncultured bacterium
Lineage: Bacteria
Description: partial 16S ribosomal RNA
Rfam family: Bacterial small subunit ribosomal RNA
Source: RNAcentral